Molecule: ribosomal RNA, 468 nt
Filed under: uncultured bacterium
Lineage: Bacteria
Description: partial 16S ribosomal RNA
Rfam family: Bacterial small subunit ribosomal RNA
Source: RNAcentral
GACGAACGCUGGCGGCGUGCUUAACACAUGCAAGUCGAACGGAAAGGCCCUGCUUUUGUGGGGUGCUCGAGUGGCGAACGGGUGCGUAACACGUGAGUAACGUGCUCUUGACUUUGGGAUAACUUCAGGAAACUGGGGCUAAUAUCGGAUCGGAGCCCCCGUGGCAUGGUGGGGGUUGGAAAUUUUCGGCGGUUGGGGAUGGAUUCGCGGCUUAUCAGCUUGUUGGUGGGGUAGUGGCUUACCAAGGCUUUGACGGGUAGCCGGCCUGAGAGGGUGACCGGCCACAUUGGGACUGAGAUACGGCCCAGACUCCUACGGGAGGCAGCAGUGGGGAAUAUUGCACAAUGGGCGGAAGCCUGAUGCAGCAACGCCGCGUGCGGGAUGACGGCCUUCGGGUUGUAAACCGCUUUCGCCUGUGACGAAGCGUGAGUGACGGUAAUGGGUAAAGAAGCACCGGCUAACUACGUG